Long non-coding RNA from Canis lupus familiaris (dog), 1867 nucleotides. RefSeq lists it as uncharacterized. NCBI's taxonomy places the organism in Eukaryota, Metazoa, Chordata, Mammalia, Carnivora, Canidae. The transcript is spliced from 3 exons. The record is from RefSeq and is a predicted model, not a curated record.
CCUCUGUCAUCACAUGGCCCCUUUCCCUGCCUGUCCCCUCCUCUUCUUAUAAAGACGCCCCGGCCUCCCAAACCCAGUAGAUUCCAAUUUAACUCGGUUAGGUUACAUCUGCAAAGACCCUACUUCCAAACAAGGUUACGUUCACUGGUGCCAGCGCUGAGGAUUUGGGCUUAUCCUUCUGGGUGACAAAAUGCAACCCAGGACAGUGCCUCCCACAUCUACUCAUCGUGCGUCUUUGAUGAACCAAUGACGGCAGAGAGAAAGGUGCGCGACCAGGACUCCCAGUUUCUGCAGGAAAAGCCCACCCUCGGUGUUGGCUUGCCACCCAGCAGACUGUAAGUUGCUUAAAGGCAGGAGGUGGAUUGUUGCCCAAAUCACCCAGACACAGAGCCAGGGCCGUGGCCCACACUUGAUGGAUAUUUAUCGCGUGAACGAAUCAAGAGAAGCCCAGUGACAACGGAGGGUGCAGCUGACAGUUUCUGGUGAUGCUAUAAUUGCAUUUGGUUUCAAUACUCCUUUGUGGAAGAGCACAAGGUGGUCCAAAGGGCCCAGUGACCCACCUACCUACCCUGGAAUUCCAACGACGUGUGCAUUUCAUGGGGAGCUAGCCAGAGUCAUGGGAUCAUGAAUCAGGGCCCUUGGAACUCUUCAGAAGUACCAGAGUGCUUGGUAAGCGCUGGUGUUGUGCUAUUUGGGUUUAUAAAUCCUGACUUCUGGUAAGUCUUAAUAAGCCAUGCAGCAGCUCCUGGACAGAGUUCUUAGUUGAAAAGUACAGACCAAAAACCUAUGGCAUUUCACAUCUUUUGCCCAUGAGAACCAAACAGAGACUGGAAUUUUGUGAUUAAUUCAAGGUCCACCAGAAACCUAGGGGGACUGGUUCUCUGGGAGCCAGCAAUGUUUAUUUCAGGGAAAGCUGUGCUUACAGAUUUGGGCAAGGUUAUCCUAGGGAAUCAGGCCAGAAAAGAGCACGUCAGCAUGGUAGGAUGUAGAGAGCUCAAUACCCUAUAAAGCUUGAGGCUCGUGUUUCAUCUUUGGGGAGGGCUUGGGGUGUUCUCUUUGGUAGUUUCCUAGUGUUGGCCCCAACUUUCUCUUGCUAGAAGCCUCCAGAGUGGAAAGACAGGGCCUAACCUCAGCCCCAGGGUUGGACCCUGACUGGCUCAAGUCACAUUAACUAGCCCCAUUCCUCUUAGGAGUGAUUGUAUCAGGUUGAGUGUGUAUCUAAAACUGUCAGAUCUGAGCUAGAACCUCUUGUGACUGCAAGAAUGCCCAGCCUUCGGAUGAAGGGGACACUAGGUAAGGCAGAGUCAGAGAAGGAAAGAGACUGGAUCCUGAUGACAACACUGAACACCUAGAUCAAGCUGCUCCUGAAUCUUUCCUUUCUGCUAUGUGUGUGAUUUUUUAAAAUAGAGGCUGACAGUGAGGUAGGAAACCAUGAAAAGAUAUGCAGAAAACAUCAGGAUAUUGCUAAGCGAUUAAGCAAAUGUGAAAAGGCUGGAUACUGUAUGAGUCCAACUAUUUGUCAUUUUAGAAAAGGCAAAGCUAUGAAGACAGUAAAAGGACCAGUCAUUGACAGGAGGCAGAGGGAAGCAGUAGCAGAGCACAGAGGAUUUUCAGGGCCCUGAAACUAUCUGCAUGACACUGUAGUGGUGGAUACACCUCAUUAUAUAUUUGUUAAAGCCUGUAGGAUAUACGCUGCCAAGUAUGAGCCCUAAUACAAACUACCGGCUUUUAUUAAUAUCAGUUCAUCACUUGCAACAAAUGUACUGCACUAAUGCAAGAGGUUAAUAACAGAGUAAACCGAGGUGGGGUGUAUGGGGGGGGGCAUGGGUACGCGUGGCAUGGAGAACUCUGUACUUCCUGCACAACU